RNAcentral lists this ribosomal RNA (388 nucleotides) under uncultured bacterium. Its description in RNAcentral is "bacterial SSU rRNA". It matches the Rfam family "Bacterial small subunit ribosomal RNA", at positions 86 to 507 of the family's 1533-position model. The record is from RNAcentral.
UGGUGGAAAGUGGCAGACGGGUGAGUAACGCGUGGGAACGUGCCUUUCGGUUCGGGAUAACCCAGGGAAACUUGGGCUAAUACCGGAUACGCCCUCCGGGGGAAAGAUUCAUCGCCGAAAGAUCGGCCCGCGUCGGAUUAGCUAGUUGGUGGGGUAAUUGCCUACCAAGGCGACGAUCCGUAGCUGGUCUGAGAGGAUGAUCAGCCACACUGGGACUGAGACACGGCCCAGACUCCUACGGGAGGCAGCAGUGGGGAAUAUUGGAACAAUGGGCGCAAGCCUGAUCCAGCCAUGCCGCGGUGGGUGAAGAAGGCCCUAGGGUUGUAAAUCCCUUUCAGCGGGGAAGAUAAUGACGGUACCCGCAGAAGAAGCCCCGGCUAACUCCGUG